RNAcentral lists this ribosomal RNA (253 nucleotides) under uncultured bacterium. Its description in RNAcentral is "partial 16S ribosomal RNA". It matches the Rfam family "Bacterial small subunit ribosomal RNA", at positions 524 to 776 of the family's 1533-position model. The record is from RNAcentral.
UACAGAGGUCUCAAGCGUCGUUCGGAUUCAUUGGGCGUAAAGGGUGUGUAGGUGGCGCGCUAAGUCGGGUGUGAAAUUUCGGAGCUUAACUCCGAAACUGCAUUCGAUACUGGCGUGCUUGAGGACUGGAGAGGAGACUGGAAUUCAUGGUGUAGCAGUGAAAUGCGUAGAGAUCAUGAGGAAGACCAGUGGCGAAGGCGGGUCUCUGGACAGUUCCUGACACUGAGACACGAAGGCCAGGGGAGCAAACGGG